CGGACGGGUGAGUAAUGUCUGGGAAACUGCCCGAUGGAGGGGGAUAACUACUGGAAACGGUAGCUAAUACCGCAUAACGUCGCAAGACCAAAAGGGGGGACCUUCGGGCCUCUUGCCAUCGGAUGUGCCCAGAUGGGAUUAGCUAGUAGGUGGGGUAACGGCUCACCUAGGCGACGAUCCCUAGCUGGUCUGAGAGGAUGACCAGCCACACUGGAACUGAGACACGGUCCAG
This 232-nucleotide ribosomal RNA is filed under the name uncultured bacterium. RNAcentral describes it as "partial 16S ribosomal RNA". It matches the Rfam family "Bacterial small subunit ribosomal RNA", at positions 99 to 334 of the family's 1533-position model. The record is from RNAcentral.